GGCCAAUGAAAAUCAUUCAAGAGCAAAUGUAAAACACAGAACAUGCUUGCACUUAAUUUCUGAACUAAUCCCAUAAACAAACAUUGGAAAUUUGAAUCCAUUUGGACCACUUAACAGACAGUUUUAACAAAUGAUAUACUGCAAAGCUCUCCAAACUGUAAAGUAGACUCCUAGACAAAUUUCAGCAUAACAAUUGCUGAUUUCAACCCACAGGAACACCAGAUUGACCUAUUCAGACAACCUUUUACUACAAUACAUCUAGCAAUUUACUCAUACAAUAGAGUCCAAUCCUUAUUACAAGCCAAUGUUCUGAACCUAAACACCUAUUUAAGCUUAACACCAUAGCCCUGAGAUACUAAAAUGACUAAGAAAAACAACACAUGCAAGAAAACUACAUUACUACAAACUAAGGGAAUUUAAUCGUAAAAUGGCAGAAUAUAGCAGUAGAUGCAACUAUAAAUAGUGUUUCUAUUUAAAUCCCAACUCAGGUUCAUGAAUCUUUACACAAAUUCUAUCAGGCUUCAGCUCCAUUACAGUUUCAAGAGCAUACCUGGAAAUUGAAAAGCGAAGAAAGAAGUGAGGAAGCAAUAAGCAACAACUACCCAACAAUCAGUACCCAGAAAGUAGGAAACCAAGCAAAAAGAAACAGUUGGACUCAACCAAUGAAACAAUAACUUAUAUAAACCCAAAGCUUCAAAACAAGUUCUUCAAGACCCAAAUUCAAACCAUUCUUCGACCAAAGAUUGCAGGAUGUGAAACCUUCAGGGAUCUUAACUAAGGAAAAAGAUCAGAAACCUCCAGCUAAAUAUAGAAUUUGAUCAGGUUUCCAAAGAAAAGGCUGGAAGUCAGUAUAUUUUUUAGAACUUAUUCAGCCGUUUGUUUUCUCAGAAUUUUCUCCUCUUUCCUUCCUUCGGUCCUUCUUCAGAGGCAAGAUUGUGAUGCCUUUAUAGGCAAACAAUAGGGAAACUAUCAGAUUUUAUUGUUUCAAUUCUAGUCCCUUUCUAAUUCUUAUUUUUGCUACUUGAUCCCUCAAAUUUUUGCUUGCUUGCCAAGCAAAGCCCUUUUCCAGCUUCCAAGAAGCUUCUUCAGGUGGUUACCAAGAUAUUCCCUAGAUGAACUACCUAAAAUACCCUACAAUGAUCCUGUUUUUACCCUAAAACCACCCGGGUUAACUGGUCAAGCUAAUUGGGUCAUAGACCCUAAAUUGAAUCUUUGCUGGGCCUGCUGCUAUUCAUAAACCAAUUGCAACACUUAUGGCCCCAGAUUAGAGCUAACCAAAUUUUCCCAAACAAAGAAGCCUGGAGCUAUUUCUAAAAAAAACAACCGAAACAAAAGGCAAAAUUAAAGAACUAACCAAUCUUAUUUCAUAAUAGCAAAUUAAUUAUGGACCUAACUUCAUUAGCUAUGCAAUUAAAUUGAUAAUGAAACAUUAAAGCUUAUCAACACACAAAAUAAAAACAACAAAAUAGAGUGGAUCAAGAAUCUUAGCUAGUUCAACUAACAGAGGAACAUAAAAGGACCCAGUUCGAACCCAGAACACCCACAUGAACUUUGACCAACCCAAAAGAAAAGGGAUGAGGAGGAAGAUGAACCAGUUGAAAGAAAAUCACAAGAGAUGAAAAAGAACUUACCCAGUCAUGCUCGAAACCAAACGGAGACAGAAAACUCAACCAAAAUUAUGUCGAAUCCGUUGUUCUUUGUCAAGAACAACUGAAUCGACAUCAAUUUCAAACUUUGAAAAAAAACAUUGCAUGUUGCCGGGCUUGAAAGGAGAUGAUUUUGAACUUUUGGGUUGAACUUGGAUUUAAGAUUCGACGAGUUCAGCGCUGAUUCGAAGGGUAUGGGUUAGGGAUUUGGAGAGAAGAUAUCAUGGGGGGUAUGUGGUGUGAUUUUGGCGUUGAAAGGAGGUGGCGCUGCCACCCCAUGCUGGUGGGAAAAAAAAGGGGCGGCGCUAGGGUUCUAAAGGUUGUCUCUGAAGAGAGAGUGUGUAAGGGAGACGACUUGGGGGGGGGGGGUAGAGGAUUCAGACAGUCUUAUAUUAAAGCAACCCCA
Molecule: long non-coding RNA, 2052 nt
Filed under: Nicotiana tabacum (common tobacco)
Lineage: Eukaryota; Viridiplantae; Streptophyta; Magnoliopsida; Solanales; Solanaceae
Description: long non-coding RNA (NTAB_LNC008649)
Source: RNAcentral